This 733-nucleotide ribosomal RNA is filed under the name Alloscardovia omnicolens. RNAcentral describes it as "bacterial SSU rRNA". It matches the Rfam family "Bacterial small subunit ribosomal RNA", at positions 47 to 788 of the family's 1533-position model. Lineage: Bacteria; Bacillati; Actinomycetota; Actinomycetes; Bifidobacteriales; Bifidobacteriaceae. The record is from RNAcentral.
CUUAACACAUGCAAGUCGAACGGGAUCCUUUCUAGCUUGCUAGGGGGGUGAGAGUGGCGAACGGGUGAGUAACGCGUGAUUAACCUGCCGUGUAGUUUGGAAUAGCUCCUGGAAACGGGUGGUAAUGCCGAAUGUUCCACAUGCUCGCAUGGGUGUGUGGGAAAACGUUUUAGUGCUAUGCGAUGGGAUCGCGUCCUAUCAGCUUGUUGGUGGGGUAGUGGCCUACCAAGGCUUCGACGGGUAGCCGGCCUGAGAGGGCGACCGGCCACAUUGGGACUGAGAUACGGCCCAGACUCCUACGGGAGGCAGCAGUGGGGAAUAUUGCACAAUGGGGGGAACCCUGAUGCAGCGACGCCGCGUGCGGGAUGACGGCCUUCGGGUUGUAAACCGCUUUUAUUGGGGAGCAAGCGUGAGUGAGUGUACCUUUUGAAUAAGCACCGGCUAACUACGUGCCAGCAGCCGCGGUAAUACGUAGGGUGCAAGCGUUGUCCGGAAUUAUUGGGCGUAAAGAGCUCGUAGGCGGUUUGUCGCGUCUGGUGUGAAAGUCCAUCGCUUAACGGUGGAUUGGCGCUGGGUACGGGCAGGCUAGAGUGUAGUAGGGGAGACUGGAAUUCUCGGUGUAACGGUGGAAUGUGUAGAUAUCGGGAAGAACACCAAUGGCGAAGGCAGGUCUCUGGGCUAUUACUGACGCUGAGGAGCGAAAGCGUGGGGAGCGAACAGGAUUAGAUACCCU